CCCUUGACUCGUAGUAAGAACUAUCAAGUACUGUGCGCUGAACACUUCACGUGAAGGAUCUAAGCAUUCAUUCUGGGAACUAGAUCAGUUUCUAUUUAACAGGUUUUUCAAGCUGGUUUUGUGACCUUCCUCUACACAAGCUGCCCUCCCUUCCCCCGCCCUUCACCAGACAACGAGCUGCCAGGUUGACCACGCUGCUCAACAUUCUGAUGCUGUUCUGUGAGCUCCGGGUACAAGCAACUCCCUCUCAUCCUCUGACUCCUGGCCUGACUUGUUUGUAGGACCUAGCACCCAGGGGUUGCCCCGUGACCUGAGGGUAACAGUGCUGGAGGGCUGAGGAGGUCUGUGAUGGCUCCCUCCGAGCCCCGAGGGAUGUAAUCAGAAUGACCCAGAGCCUGGUUCCUGAAGCUCUCACCCUUACCCUAACCCAGCUCUUGCCUUGGGCUCAAACCCCUGCCUUGCCUCACAACGAUACACGACCCAUCCUUGUCCCUUAGCAGGGUUGCCCUCAACCAUACAUGGAGGCAAGGACAAACUGCUUUCAGAGGUUCUGGGGAUGGCUUUCAGGUUAUGUGCAUAGCCCAAGUACCCAUGGGCAGAUCAAGAAAGGGGGACAGGUGAGGCUGGUGUCACAUGGAAGUCGCCUGGGCCCACAGUCAGCUCUGUGGGUCAUGGCUUUGGAUCAGGGGAGACACAGGGACUGGCCUGAGUCACCAGAGACAAGGAUGUCAGGGAUGGCCCAAGCGGUGGGGCGUACCGAGACCUUGGGGCUAUAAACCCCAUCAGGUCCUGUCCCUCUGGCCUGAUGGGAGUCUGUCUGAGGAAGCAGCCUGGUCACAAGAUGUAGAACUUGACCCUUAUCUACAGACCAGAAGGAGGGCUUUGUCUCCCUAGACACUCAUGCCCUCCCUCAGGGCAGAUUCUCAGGACUGGGCUGUGUUGGGCAGACCCACUCACUUGAUUUUUGCUUAAUUUAUUCAAGGACCCUUUCUGCCCCAUCCUUUGGAAAUUCUCCUCUGGGCUGGGAGCUACAGAGGCUAUAGCUGGCACUGUCCCUCUGUCAGGCGGGUGACCACGUACUCUCUAACAGCCCCUCUUGAAGCCGCUGGGAGCCGGGUUUCCCAUCAGCCCCUUGGCAAGCUCCAGCCCAGCCUUCCUUGGUGCGGGGGUCCUGAUUUAGAACUACUUGCCCUGGGCUGGUGCAGCCUGAGCACUCAGGAAAAAACGAAAGAGAGCCACUGUAGCUCAAGCUCUUGAUCAAUACAUAGCAGCUAUAAUUAUUAUUAAUUCAUAUUCCUUGGGGGGAAUUUUCAUGCUAAUAGGAAACUCCCAAGAGCUACAGGGAUACUCUGUCAGGCACCUCUCCUAUGUUACAUCACUCCAUCCUUACCACUGCCUGGAAGGUGGCACUGCCAACCCUCACUUCAUGAAGGGGGGAUCCAAGGCCCCGGGAUGUUAAGGGAGGUGACUAAGGUCCCAUGGCAGCAAGGGGGUGGUAGAGACAGGAGCCCUGGCUCCAAGUUCUGGGUUCUUUCCUCCCCACUCCUCUGCGGCACCAGAAGACCUAGGGAACUGAAAACACUCCAGUCUGACAGUACAUCGUCAGACCGGGAGACAGAUGGAUGAGGAGGGCUUUGGGGUAGGGCUUUUGGGGGGCCUCUCCCACCCCUGGCCCUUGGUUCUAAGGGGCACCCAGCUGAUCCAUAGAGGCUGGGGAGACAGACAAAGAGCUGAGGUUUUUCCUGGCUCUUCUGCAGUUUGGGGACGCUGCUGGUAUCUCCCUCCCAAGCCAUGCCCGAGGAGUGCUGGGGGCCAGGGCUGACAUCUGUCCCUGAGCCCCCUCUCCCCAGGCCCCAAGAUAGGGCUGUGAUUAAUCAACGACAAAAGCAGAAACAAACAGAAAAAUGUAAUCAGCUUGGGAAGGGCAGGGCUGGGCUGGGCCGUGGCAAUCAGCUUUCCCGCUGGGGCUGUUGGCUGAUUGAAGGUGGUUCCGGUAGGGCCUCCAGGAACAGGUCCAGCAGCUGGGGCCAUGGAGAGGCCAGGGGGUCAAGCCCUCCCCCAUAUAUAUGCAUGUACAUCUGUGUUCCCAUGCCCAUGCCACUCCUAGUCCAUGGGUCUGCACACCACCCCCCUCCCACACCCACAGGCUCCUACCCAGAAGCUCCUGCCCUCCCCUCCCCUCCCCUGCCAGCUCACAACCUUGGCACACGUAGGUUUCCAUACACACUCCCAACAUGCAUCCAUCUGCGUGUGGACUCAAAAACACAUGAACACACCCUCCUGGGUAACAGAUAUAUGCACACACAUGCUGCUCCCACAAACACCUGCCCCCUCACUUCGAUGCACACACGUGCCUUGGGGCCUGGGUGAGUCUUGAGCACACAUGGGUCUAACCAGCCAUGUGAACAGACAGGCUCUCACACCAGGCCCUACAAGCACCCAGCCACCUCUCUGUUCUUCAGUGCCCUGAGUUGUGGGUGGGGAGAGGCAUGAAGCAGACCCUUGGCAGCUCCCCAGGCAGAGUGGUGGGGGCUUGGAAAGGAGCCAGGACUGGGGCUCUACUGUGGGGGGGAGCAAGGUCAGCCGCCAAGUUUCAGCCACAGGCAGGAGAGCCUGCCCCAGAUUUGUCCCAAGCUCCUGCCUGCCACCAGCGGCUUAUGACCUUGGUCAACGCCCUUCUCUCUCAGCCUCAGUUUCCCCACCUUGGAGCCCCUCCUGGCACCAAUAACUGUAUGAUUCUCCUCCAGGACCCAGGCGCCUGGGGCCCAUCUCAC
Molecule: long non-coding RNA, 2774 nt
Organism: Mustela erminea (ermine)
Lineage: Eukaryota; Metazoa; Chordata; Mammalia; Carnivora; Mustelidae
Exons: 2
Source: RefSeq, a predicted model, not a curated record